This 485-nucleotide ribosomal RNA is filed under the name Lactobacillus delbrueckii subsp. bulgaricus. Its description in RNAcentral is "partial 23S ribosomal RNA". It matches the Rfam family "Bacterial large subunit ribosomal RNA", at positions 697 to 1180 of the family's 2925-position model. Lineage: Bacteria; Bacillati; Bacillota; Bacilli; Lactobacillales; Lactobacillaceae. The record is from RNAcentral.
CAGUUGGCUGACGCAGACCCGAAACCAAGUGACCUACCCAUGACCAGGUUGAAGGCGCGGUAAAACGCGCUGGAGGACCGAACCCACGUAAGUUGAAAAUUGCGGGGAUGAGUUGUGGGUAGCGGUGAAAUUCCAAACGAACUUGGAGAUAGCUGGUUCUCUCCGAAAUAGCUUUAGGGCUAGCCUCGCAAAGAGGAUGCUGGAGGUAGAGCUCUGUUUGGACUAGGGGCCCGUCAAGGGUUACUGAAUUCAGAUAAACUGCGAAUUCCAGACAUUUAUGUGCGGGAGUCAGACUGCGAGUGAUAAGAUCCGUAGUCGAAAGGGAAACAGCCCAGAUCACCAGUUAAGGUCCCAAAAUUCAUGCUAAGUGGAAAAGGAUGUGGAGUUGCGCAGACAACUAGGACGUUGGCUCAGAAGCAGCCAUCAUUCAAAGAGUGCGUAAUAGCUCACUAGUCGAGUGACGCCGCGCCGAAAAUUUACCGGGG